Molecule: ribosomal RNA, 465 nt
Filed under: uncultured bacterium
Lineage: Bacteria
Description: bacterial SSU rRNA
Rfam family: Bacterial small subunit ribosomal RNA
Source: RNAcentral
CCUACGGGAUGCUCCAGUGGGGAAUAUUGCACAAUGGGCGCAAGCCUGAUGCAGCUAUGCCGCGUGUAUGAAGAAGGCCUUCGGGUUGUAAAGUACUUUCAGCGGGGAGGAAGGCGGUAAGGUUAAUAACCUUGUCGAUUGACGUUACCCGCAGAAGAAGCACCGGCUAACUCCGUGCCAGCAGCCGCGGUAAUACGGAGGGUGCAAGCGUUAAUCGGAAUUACUGGGCGUAAAGCGCACGCAGGCGGUCUGUCAAGUCGGAUGUGAAAUCCCCGGGCUCAACCUGGGAACUGCAUUCGAAACUGGCAGGCUAGAGUCUUGUAGAGGGGGGUAGAAUUCCAGGUGUAGCGGUGAAAUGCGUAGAGAUCUGGAGGAAUACCGGUGGCGAAGGCGGCCCCCUGGACAAAGACUAACGCUCAGGUGCGAAAGCGUGGGGAGCAAACAGGAUUAGAUACCCCCGUAGUC